AUGAGGCUUGAUAUGGUAGCUUUCUUUUCUGUCUGGUGCUGUCUGCAAAUUCUAAGGAGCAAAGAGCCUGUGUUACAGUGCAGACUGUGCAAUAGGUCAGAGAAGAGAUUAGUGUCACUGAGAAGCUAACAGGCUACUGGUUUGCCUGCAUUAGUUGCAAGCUGAAAGGCUCCUGCUCAUGUCAUGCACUCACUCACCCAGGAAAUCAGAAGCUUUUCCAGGACAAAUCUGAGGAAACAAUGCACCAGGGUAACAACUUUGAGUGGAAAGAGAAUUAUAGAGACCUGGAAAGAUGCCAGAAUGCAGGUGGUGGAGGAAGCAGACCCAAGUGAUGGGGAUGGCUGUGGUUAUGUGCAAGAUUUCAGCUUGGACCUGCAAGUUGGUGUAAUUAAGCCCUGGUUGCUGCUUGGAUCACAAGAUGCUGCUCAUGAACUGGAAACGAUGAAGAGAUAUGGGGUUACUCAUGUCCUAAAUGUGGCAUAUGGAGUAGAAAAUGCCUUCCUCAAUGACUUUGUAUACAAGAGCAUUUCCAUACUGGAUCUUCCUGAAACAGACAUCACAUCCUAUUUUCCAGAGUGUUUUGAGUUUAUUGAGCAAGCUAGGAUUCAGGAUGGAGUGGUGCUGGUUCACUGUAAUGCAGGAGUCUCUCGUGCUGCAGCAAUUGUCAUUGGUUUUCUAAUGAAUUCAGAAGGACUUGGUUUUGCCAGAGCCUUUACUUUGGUGAAAAAUGCAAGGCCUGCCAUUUGUCCAAAUCCUGGCUUCAUGGAGCAGCUUCACAAGUACCAAGAGUACAAUGAAAAGGCAAAUGCAAGCAUAAAUGAUCAUGAAUGAUAAAGAGAAACAAAACAGUCUGUGUGCUUGUACUGUAACAGAUGUGUCGAUGUACUUUAUACUGUCAUUUCUCAGACUCCUCUCACAUGUUUAUUUUAAAUAUAUUUUCUACAUAUUUAAUUCUUCACUUUUUUAUCUAAAUAUGUUAUGUUACUUGGUCCAGACUUCAAGCAGUUAAGAGGCCAAACUUUAUUCCAUUGACUUCAGCGAUGAAUUGGCCCAAGGACAUGUUUUUCCCCAGAGUGGUGAUAAAAGAUCAAGUUCUAGCUUGUUUGAAAUAUCAGACAGAAGAGAAUGACAGGUUUUCAUUGAACUGUCUGAGGAUACAAGCAAUAGAAAAGGGAAAUAAAAUGCUGGCUCAGAUAAUAAAGUUACUGCAUUUACUUUAAUACUGAAUCCAAUCUUUAUCCAUUCUAGUUGGCUGUAAAACCUAGAUAAUAAACUAUUCUUAUAAUAAAGGGCCUCACAGUUGGGUCUUAAAUUGAACAUGCAAAGAAAGGCAGGUUUUUAUGGAAGCCUGUGGGUAGGCAGCCACUAAAUAUUUUUUAAGGAUUAAACUAGAUGGCCUUUUGAUGAAGAAGAAGAUGUAAAAUGUUUUAAUGCCCCAUUGAAACUUUUUUCUACACUGUCCUAUUAUGGGGUGACUUUAAGUACACUGAUAUUGCACUUUGAAAUGACAGGUAACUAACCUCAAAGUGAGAUAUUUAAGGAGGGGAAAAUGCCAAGAUUUCAAAGAGAAGAUUGUUUUAUUUAGAAUAAAAAGUAUUGUCUGGAUCAGGUUUUAUAAUUCAAUGUUUUUCACACACAGAUAUACUAUAAAAAUGAUACAAGACUGUAGGACAGGUAUAAAUGUGCAGUAAAAUGAAGGGCUACUGAGAGGCUUGCUUAUAAGAAUUUAUAGAGUAUGCUUUCCUUUGGGCACCAUUAACCUGAAUUGCAGUAAUUCCUAAGAUGAGUUAAUGUAUUCAGUCUAGUUCCUUGUAGAUUGAUGUUAAUACUAAGUGUUCAGAAACUUUAUUACCAUAGAGUUAAAGCUGUCCAAUGAUCUUACGCCCUUGCAGAACAUGUGAAUUAAACUUGAUCUUCUGAAAAUCAAAAUCAGUUAACAUAACUAGAACUUACAUCUAUAAACUGGGAAAUAAAUGGGAGGCAUCACCUCCUUUUCCUAACCCCAGUUCCCAUUUAUCCUGCCAACCACCUCGGGCUUUAUUCUCAAGACUAUUAUCCCUCAUCUUAAUUCCCUUCAGCCUGAGCUUUCCUGAUCCUUUUUCUGUCCUCUUAAUACCAAGUGCUAUUACUCAUCCCCAUUCAUCUCAACGAGGUUAAUCCCUUCUUUCCAGUCUUCCCUCCCCACCUAUUUUUCUCACUUCUCUGGACUCUAAUCCUCUCUCCCUUUUCUUAGUCAUCCCAACACUCACAUUUAGCAUUCCACCAGAACCCCCCUGCAUUUUCCUUCAUUACUUCAAUUCCUAGUCUGUAAAUUUUCAUGAAAAACUAUAAGUCUGAAAAUAAUAUAAGUAGCUUAUGCUGGGGGUCAGGUGUUGGGAGUGUAUUAAUCACCCCCUGACCCAAUGACUCAUUUUCCUGGGCUACAAACACAGUUAUUCUUCCAGAAACAUAAUUACCUUGGUCUGACUGCUUACCAAAUUACUAUAUCUUCCCUGCAUUUGAUCAAGGCUUAUUACUUUCACAAUAUUUCUGAAAUAAAACUGUAAUUUUCAAACAUUUUAAAAUAAUGCACCUAAGCAAGAAACUUUUUUUCUCAGGGAAAGACUUCUAGAAAGAGCCCCUAUUGAAUGCAAAGAACAUGCACACCACCUGAAGACUGCCAUAGAUUUUAAACUCUCAGUACCUGGACCAAUGAUUACAGCAUAUUAUUUUUGAUCCAACCAGUUGCUAACACUAGAUUGCCUAUUGGGCUCAACAGUCCUGGUCUUGUUGCUGAGGGUGAAUAUACUGACUGAUUUCAGCUGGGGAAGAAAACUCUACCCUGCUGUACAAGAGUGGUUCGAUUGUUGUGUGUUAUUUGAAUACUCUCCUGCAGUCUUAUGGAAGUUCCAGGUGAAAAGUUUUUUGUCUGUUUGUUUUUUAGUAUCACUGCAAUAGAAUGUUUAGUUUCAAAGGGUGGGUGACCAAUAGAGGACUUGCUUUUACUGUAUAAUUACUAGUUCUAUAUAAUUAUAAUGUAAAGUUUAAAGCAUUUGUACUGAGUACUGUUUUUAUGCAGUUACAUUGUAGUGUUAUUGCAGCAAUGAUGAUCUACAGACUAUCCAAGAAACAGGAUUUGUUUGGUUAUAUCAUUUAUUGGACUAAUUAUAUGUUUUGGUAGAUACCUUUUAUUGGACCAACUAUAUCGAACUAUUAAAAUAUAGUUGGUUCAAUAAGAGAUUUUAACAAAUAAAUUCCACUUUUUCCAGUUCUGUGCACGUCCACAAGCUGUAAGUCAUUAUAAUGCCACUGUAGCUGAUAGGCUGGAUGUCUGGCUGCAGAAUGACUUUUUUCCUUCAGGGAGUAUGUGGUGAAAAUUCCUUCUAUCUUGGUCCUGUGGAAAUUUUCAAAGAAUGCCCAUCAGCUUCAGGGACUUUCUUCAGUCCUCAUGUGUAACCCUGCUGCUUUUAUACCUAUUACCCGUUCAUGCCUUGAUUCUUUUAUGCAGCUAUCAAUACUAGUAGUACUUGUUUUAAAAAUUAGAAAACAUCUGUAUAAGUCAGAAAAAAAUACAAGUUAAGGAAGGUUACAGUUAAAGACAAGCCUGAACCAAAAUUUGGGGUCCUACCAGCCAGAAACUUUAAAAUGUUGGAAUUCAGAAUCUGGAGUUGGUUAUUAUUAUUUUUUACUUGAGCCAAUCUCUAGUUGCAGUCACCUGAGGAAAAUGGCAAUCAACCUAAAUAAACACUGUGAGUAUAGCAGAUGCAAAUAUACCAGUGUACAGUUAGGGUAAAAUAGUGUGUUGUGCCCCUUAGAAUUGAAGUCUGCCCCACGAUUGGAUGUACCUAUUUGAAUGAAGUGGAACAUUUUACCCCCUGCUAAUGAACCUAUUAUUUUGAAACUCAAAUGCUGAACGAAACUAGCACUAUCAUAAUAUGCCAUAAAUUAUUCUUUACCUGCUGUGACAUUCCAGAUGAGUUAAGGGAUGAGUUAGGGGAUAAUGACACACAAUUUACAUUUGAUGUAUUUUGACAAUUCUCUUUGCAGCAGCAGCUCAAAUAUAGCAUGUCAAGCCUCUUGUAUGCACCACCACGUGAGUUUGCAGAAAAGUCUGCUCAAAUUCUGUAACGCACAUGAAAAUAUAUAUUGGCUAUUAGAGUUCGAGAUUUAUGUUUGAAAGGUUAGAAACUUCAGCCAAACUUCUGUUCCAAAGUUAAGGAAUCAGACUGCCAAUAUGUGUAAAUCAUAACUCAGCUGAAAUCACUGUAGCAAUGCCAUUUUAUGCCAGCUACUCAUCUUGCUCAAUGAGUCCAGAAGGAGUCACAAAUAAUUUUUCAUCUUUGAAUGAGGGAAGAGAAUGAUAGAUCUCUAUUAAGAAAUGUAUCUCAGCUUAAUGAAGUAAGAAGUAAAUCAAAUGAAGUAAUAACACUUGUACAAAUGUAAUUACGGCUGACCAGACCAUUGCUUCAUAGACUAGAAAAAUGAGGUAAACAUGGAACAAAUGACAGCUCCAUAGAACAAAGGAGACAUCUGGCUGAUGUUUUGGUUAUGUAAAGCACAUAAAAUGCAUUUCUAGCAUUCAAGGUUCUGACUGAAAUUUCAAUAUGCUUCAAAAGUUCGAUAAGCAAAAAUA
This is an RNA transcript of Alligator sinensis (Chinese alligator), 4612 nucleotides long. It is a transcript of the gene named dual specificity phosphatase 19, with no coding region annotated. The record is from RefSeq and is a predicted model, not a curated record. NCBI's taxonomy places the organism in Eukaryota, Metazoa, Chordata, Crocodylia, Alligatoridae. The transcript has 5 exons.